Physeter macrocephalus (sperm whale) is the source of this 562-nucleotide long non-coding RNA. RefSeq lists it as uncharacterized. The record is from RefSeq and is a predicted model, not a curated record. The transcript is spliced from 3 exons. Lineage: Eukaryota; Metazoa; Chordata; Mammalia; Artiodactyla; Physeteridae.
ACGAGUCCUCAACAAGUUGGAGGAAGGCAGGAACGCAGGGGUUAAGCUCGGAAAGCCGCAAUUACCAAGAUCGUGACCCUCCCACACAGUACAGUAACUUAUAUACUUACCUGGAAGAGCCUGCUUUGCCGCUGGGCCAACACCCGUGGGGGGCGGGGAAGGGCGGGAGGGAGCGGGCCGGUUGGAGAGGGCUCCUUCAAGCUGGCUGCAGUGUGGACCGGACCGGCGCCCUCCAGGGCCCUCGGGACCCAGGUGGUUAAACCUGUCUUGACACCCGGAGGUCUGCAUGAGGGGUGGCCGCUGAAGGAAGGGGUCUCAGAGGCCACAGGAGCUGAAGAGUCUGGACAGAUGAUCUCUGGAGUCCCAGGAGUCUCCUGCUGAAGAAAGAAUCUAAAGAGAUGCCUAAGUUCCAGGGAAUUUUCCUCUAAGACUAAUAACAUCAAGAUAGCUUUGAUUUUAUUUAUUUAUGUUCAUUAUUUUUUUCCACAAGAGAAAUACGUGUCAUCUUCAGAGAUCCUGUGUUAGAAUUUUUUAUUUUACUUGUGCUGGUUGAAGACAAAUC